This 52-nucleotide microRNA precursor is filed under the name Myotis davidii. RNAcentral describes it as "mir-1302 microRNA precursor family". It matches the Rfam family "mir-1302 microRNA precursor family". The record is from Rfam by way of RNAcentral. Lineage: Eukaryota; Metazoa; Chordata; Mammalia; Chiroptera; Vespertilionidae.
UUUUUAAUAUAAGUAUGUCCCAUGCAAUAUUUGGGAUGUAUUUACAGUAGAA